RNAcentral lists this ribosomal RNA (253 nucleotides) under uncultured bacterium. RNAcentral's name for it is "partial 16S ribosomal RNA". It matches the Rfam family "Bacterial small subunit ribosomal RNA", at positions 524 to 776 of the family's 1533-position model. The record is from RNAcentral.
UACGGAGGGUGCAAGCGUUAUCCGGAUUUAUUGGGUUUAAAGGGUCCGUAGGCGGAACGUUAAGUCAGUGGUGAAAGCCCACAGCUCAACUGUGGAACUGCCAUUGAUACUGGCGAUCUUGAGUGCGUGUGAAGUUAGCGGAAUGUGUGGUGUAGCGGUGAAAUGCUUAGAUAUCACACAGAACACCAAUUGCGAAGGCAGCUGGCUAACACGCAACUGACGCUGAGGGACGAAAGUGUGGGGAUCAAACAGG